Girardinichthys multiradiatus is the source of this 408-nucleotide long non-coding RNA. RefSeq lists it as uncharacterized. The record is from RefSeq and is a predicted model, not a curated record. NCBI's taxonomy places the organism in Eukaryota, Metazoa, Chordata, Actinopteri, Cyprinodontiformes, Goodeidae. The transcript has 3 exons.
AGAAACAAACUGGGAACGGUAUAUUAAGCAAGGCUGAGCAGCAGUGGUUAUUUUCCAGUUGUUCUCUGCUUGCUUUGUCUCAAGCCAUAGCAUCUGAGAAGCAAAGGAAGCUGCUUUUCCGUCAAAAGAUCAUGGCUCCUGGACUUCUUUUGUGGAUUUCUUUGCUGUUGAACCUCUCUGCUGGCUUUUCAACUCCAACAGGAGGUCAAUAUCAAUCCCUACCAGAUACUCAGAACCCACUGGAUGAAGAAUUCUUUAAUGCUAUGGCCACUGGGGAUGUUGUGGAUAACAAGCCAAGUAGUCCUGUCAUAGUAUAGUACAACUGGCCUUUGGUCUCUGCUAACCAAAACCAGCCAGAAUCCCAAACUAGACCAGUGAUUGCUAAACCUUCUCAAAGUGUUUCAUCCC